Non-coding RNA from Cyanistes caeruleus (blue tit), 327 nucleotides. Lineage: Eukaryota; Metazoa; Chordata; Aves; Passeriformes; Paridae. The record is from RefSeq and is a predicted model, not a curated record.
AAAAAUACAAAAGAGGAGGAAAGAAAAAGAAGUUCAAUGGGCUUUUCAUCAGUCUGGCUUCAGGUCCAGUUUUGAGACCUGAAGAUCCUGAUGAAUUAAAUACAAAUGUAAAAACAUCAGUGCUGUUACUGGGGGAUUCUGAAAAGGUGAAGCUCCAUGUGGAGAGGAAUGUGGAAAUCCAGAAAUAUUCAGCCUGAAACCUUAUACCAGCAGCCAGCAAAAGUCUCGCAGCAGGAGCUGCACUGUACUUACAAUAUUCUAGAUGGAGCUGUACCAAGAAGAGGUGAAGAUUGACUUUUUAGGUCUGCUGGAACUACACGAAUGAGC